GGCGUCGUCAGUGCAAAUGGCAUUUUGUGUUGAGUAGAAAAGGGAACCUCGCAGAAAUUCACACAUAAGUCAGAUAGGUAUUUUUUAAGUUUCGGGGAGGUGUUCUGGAACUUUUCGCUUUUUUCUUUUGUAAUUUUUUUUUUUUAAAUGUUAAGGGAGCCACGGUUCUGAUUCUCUUUGCCCAGCAUUUGUCACUUCGUCAUGCAAUGUAGCGUGCUAACUUUGUGUGCUUUUUUACAUGGUAACUUUUUUAAGUCAUGGACUCUUUGAGUUCUUCCUGAACUCUUGGUGCCCAGGUCCAUCUUAAAAUCUCCGUUUUCAGUAUUGCUGUGUGUGCAGUAACCAGAACACAUAUUAUAUGCAUAGCUAUGAAAUCUGCACUGCCUUUUGGGUGUUUUUUUUUUUUCCCCUCGGUCCUCUUUCUUUCCUAUGAAUACCUCUUGGGAAGUGUUUCCAGGAGGUUACUUUAUUUUGCUGCUACUGUGAGCAUUAGCAGGUAACUUGCAAGUCUGGAGGCCAUGUGUAUUGAGGGUAGCUGGAAUCCUAGGCCCUUACGGUGUUGAAGACUCACGUAUUCAGCCUCGUGGAAGUUACCCUCGUGCUCCAUGACAUUCACUUCACGUUGCCCAUUGCACUUGAACCUGCACCUCGCUAGGUGUCCUCGUUUCGCUGUGUAGGCAUCUCAGUUCCCAAAGCAGCCUUACCCUCCUCCUCUGCUGUGAUCGCCUGUGACAUCAUUGCUUCCAGCAGCACAUCCACAGCCUGAUCCGAGUUUAGCCACCGUUAGUCUUCCUGUGGCUCCUGUAUUCCCUGGGAAGAAAAAAAAAAAUGCACCAAACACGGGAUCUUCGAUGUCAGGAAUUGAAUGUUUGUCUAAUUUGAACCUCUCCUCUUCCUUUAAUAGGUAGAUCUCAUUUGAAAUUUCAUAUCCGAAACUCUGAAACCGUCUCAGAAUCGUCGUUUGACCACACAGAGUGUUUUAAUAACACUUUUGGGGGGAGGGAGCUAUAAACAGUUCAGCAUUAAUGGAAUCUAUUUGAAUUUCCACAGUGGUGAAUAUUUUUAUUCUUGGGUCCUCCAGGAAUGGAUUUUCUGUUAUGUCUGGUGUCUUUUUAAAACAACAACAACAACAAAACUGAAAACAACAACAACAACAAACAAAAAGCCUCUACAAACUCCAUUAAUUUUCCAUGGGAUCCAGAAAUAAACUUUCCAUAUCUGUAAACUGUAUGUCUGUGGAGUUUAGUUCUUGUUUUAGAUUUAAACAGAAAAAAAUCAGGAAGUAUUAUGGCAGUGUCUAGGCAUCUUUAGGCUAUUAUAUUUCUGUGCUUGGUCAGCAUGAAAAUUUCAGCCAUAAUUAAGAGGUAAAACCUCUAAGCCGCAGAGAAGAUAUUUUUGCCCAUAAGUUUGGAGAUGCUCUUUGAUGUGAAGUAUCUUACGGAAAAAUUGUUACUUGGUUCAAUUCAGUUUUUCUGGAGUGAGGGACUUGAUUUUUUUCUUUCUUUCUUUCUUUUCUUUUCCCAGUGCUGUUUGGCACAAUGAGCUUAUAUGUGUUUGGGGUUAAAAAUCACCUGCAAAGGAUGGUAGCCCAGGGUUUUGGGUGGACAGCCUGGUGGGCCUGAUUAGAGCUGUCAUUUCCUGGUCGUCACGAAAUAACCACCCACAGUAGCAUUGCGUAUGUAGUGUAGGUGAGCUUUCUUAAAGCUUUGUAUUCUCGAUUUCUUUUCCUGUAAACAUCCAGUGUACUGAGUCUGUAUCAUUCCUUAAGACAGCCCUAUAGCUUGCCUUUGUAAUCCCUUCUAUAAUGUGGAAGGAAGCACAAAGAAACUCUUAAACUCAUGUGCUCUCAAGACUAUCUCCCGUGUUUGUUUUUUUGUUUUUUUUUUUUUUCUUUUUGGUGUUUGGGUUUUGUUUUGUUUUGUUUUUGUAUUUCCUCAUCCUGAAAGCAGCCUAAUUGAAAGUAGAUCAUGCUACACUGGACCAAUAGAAAUGGACGUGCGGGGAAUUCCCUUGUGGCACAGUGGAUCCGGAGUUGUCACGGCAGCAGCUCAGCAGCUCAGGUCGACACUGGCGUGGGUUCGCGAUCCCUGACCCUGGGAGCUUCCACAUGCUGCAGGUGUGGCCAAAAAAAAAAAAAAAAGAGAAAGAAAUGGACGUGGGUAGAUAUUGUUGUUAUCUGUGAAGCUGCCCUGACCUCUCCUGUCAUUCAUCUUUCAUCAUUCAUUCCUUCAUUCUGCAAACAUUUCGUUGAGGGCCUGCCUUGCUUGGAAAGGCCAUCUGAGAGCUUCAGGAGUUUGCUGUAGCUGAGGCGCCCUGGGAGCGGCUGGUGAACCAGGGGAUGCUAGUAGCUAAGGCUGUCCUAGGUGGAGCCGCAGUCCUCCCGAGCGGAAAGAUCAAAUGGAUCCUGGUGAUCGGCGGAGGCUCGUGGGCUUCCUGAGCACGUCUCUUCUGUCCUGGAAACCAAAAGUGCCCUUCAUUUUUGGAGACAUUUUUAAUGUCACAUCUUCUUUUUCAGACCGAGCUGUCUGCCCCGUAGGGGCUGGAAAUCCAUUACGAGGUCACUUUGCAUUAGAAUGUGGUCACCUGGGUUGGUAGGCGAUUUGCAGAGAUUUCUGGGGAUGGGGAUGGGGGUGGGGAGGAAAGCAGUCAGCCCUCUAAAAGAGCUGUCACGACAAAACACAGCAGCAGAGUGGAAAGGCGACCGCGGUGGCCGCCUUGAGGAACCGUGGAGCCGAAGAGCCGUGAACAACGCUCCUCUAUUUCAAAUAAUAUGUUUUGAAACGUAGAUGCACAUCGGACGUCAAGUUUCCUUUUGGACAAAUUAGUGACCAGCUGCAGUUAGCAGUUAGUUUCCUGUGUAGGUGACAGGAACUCUGGGAUGCAAAGAUCACCAGUGUCUCCAGGUCGGGUAUUUGAGACAGUAUGCACAUCAUAAGCACAGUUUCAAUAAAACGCAUAUUCUGUGAGGCGCGUCGCACUUUGUCUUAUUUGGAAUUUGAGAAGAGCAAAACUUGCUGACAAACCAGUGCCUAUGUCGUCAACAUAAACACACAAGAUCACUGUUCCUGCGCAGGCAGCCUUUGCUUUCACAAAGGGGUUCUCUCGUGGUCACAAGGGAAGAAUGUGGCUUCUAAUAGUGCUAACAAUUUUCAAACACUUUUGUAGAGACUUAGAGCUGUUCUGGAAAGCUUCGGAGCUUCCCAGCCACGGGUCACGAGGACGCUGUGGAGCUUGCGGUAGCGUUGACAGUGGACUUGGUUCUAGAGUCACCUCACAUUCAUAUGAAACCAGUGUUUGCCGAUUUGGGGGAGCAGGCAGAUCUCUCGCAGCCUUUUUCAAACCUCACACGUGUACUCUCCCCUGGGUUCUGUCAAGCCUUUUCUGCAGUCUUGAGAUUCUGGUACCCAACACCCACUAGAAUCAUCGAGGGAACUUUAAAAAAACGCCUGGGUCCCACUCCCCAACUUUUGAUCUAGUUAGUGUAGGGCAGGGCCCAGGAAUUCCCGUAUGCAUGUAAAGCUCCUAGCUCUUUCUGCUUUGCAGUCAGACCUGAGAACCGCUGUGGCAACACCCUGCCUUGGCUGAGAACUGCCGUGGGAAGGCCCCGGGAGCGACUCUUGUUUCCUCUGUUGCUUUGGAGAAAGAAGAAAAGAUGGUGAGCUUCUGACAUCAACCCUGUCUGAGACAAGGGGGGCUUCUGCUUCGAGCUCUGAUUCAGGAGCUCAGAGCUUGCCCGCCUGGUGGGAGCCGGGGGUCUUGAGUUUGCUGGAACCAGCAGGAGUGUCCAGGGCGGGGGUGGGGGUUGCAUCCUUCCCAGGACUUUUUCUCUGGGCCAGACCCUUGUGGGAGGAAGGCAGUCGUCCAGAAAUGCUGAGCCAAGGCUUCCAGUGGCUUUGGAAAACCCGUCCUUGAUUUCAAUAAACCGAUGGUCACUUUGUUGUCAUUAUAAUAGCAAACCCUAGGCUGCUGCCCAGUGUCCUUCCUCUGUAGCUCACUCUGCUGUCUAGAAUGAAGUUUCAGGACUUUUGCUUUCUUUCUGUCUGUCUGUCUUUUUCGUUUAAAAGUGAAUGUGAAGCAUUUUAUGGGGGGUCUUUUUUUUCUUUGGCACCCUGGGUAUUUUUUUCAUGUCUUUAAAAAAAAUCAAAUCAUAGUGCGCCCCACCUCGGGCCGUCUCUGUCACCUAUGGAGGCAGAUGAAAUUUAGUUUUAAUCUGUGGUGAGCUGAGUGCACGACAAUGUCUUCACGAUAAGCUGCUGUGCUCCUCUGGCGGUUUCCCCCUGUGGAGGAGGAUGCUGUCUUGAAAAAAAAAAAAAAAAA
RNAcentral lists this long non-coding RNA (4317 nucleotides) under Sus scrofa (pig). RNAcentral's name for it is "lncRNA (ENSSSCG00045025949.1)". Lineage: Eukaryota; Metazoa; Chordata; Mammalia; Artiodactyla; Suidae. The record is from RNAcentral.